AGCGAACGCUGGCGGCGUGCCUAACACAUGCAAGUCGAGCGAACCAGGAGUAAAGGUAACUUUGUUCCUGGUUCGCGGCGAACGGGUGAGUAACACGUGGGUAACCUGCCCUCAGGAGGGGGAUAACUCGGGGAAACCUGAGAUAAUACCCCAUAAGACCACAAGCUGAGAUGCUUGUGGUAAAAGGAGCAAUCCACCUGAGGAUGGGCCCGCGGCCUAUCAGGUAGUUGGUAGGGUAAUGGCCUACCAAGCCUAUGACGGGUAGCCGAGCUGAGAGGCUGGCCGGCCACACUGGGACUGAGACACGGUCCAGACUCCUACGGGAGGCAGCAGUGGGGAAUAUUGGGCAAUGGGCGAAAGCCUGACCCAGCGACGCCGCGUGGGGGAAGAAGGCCUUCGGGUUGUAAACCCCUUUUGCAGAGGACGACUAAAGACUGUACUCUGCGAAUAAGCCACGGCUAACUCUGUG
This 469-nucleotide ribosomal RNA is filed under the name uncultured bacterium. RNAcentral describes it as "bacterial SSU rRNA". It matches the Rfam family "Bacterial small subunit ribosomal RNA", at positions 29 to 507 of the family's 1533-position model. The record is from RNAcentral.